UACCCCGUGGUGUAAUCGGUAACACAACAGGUUUUGGUCCUGUUAUUCCUGGUUCGAGUCCAGGCGGGGUAACCA
This 75-nucleotide transfer RNA is filed under the name Planctomycetota bacterium. RNAcentral's name for it is "Planctomycetes bacterium (bioreactor metagenome) tRNA-Gln". It matches the Rfam family "tRNA". Rfam says of the family: Transfer RNA (tRNA) molecules are approximately 80 nucleotides in length. Their secondary structure includes four short double-helical elements and three loops (D, anti-codon, and T loops). Lineage: Bacteria; Pseudomonadati; Planctomycetota. The record is from RNAcentral.